This 253-nucleotide ribosomal RNA is filed under the name uncultured bacterium. Its description in RNAcentral is "partial 16S ribosomal RNA". It matches the Rfam family "Bacterial small subunit ribosomal RNA", at positions 524 to 776 of the family's 1533-position model. The record is from RNAcentral.
UACGAAGGGAGCUAGCGUUGUUCGGAAUCACUGGGCGUAAAGCGCACGUAGGCGGAUGUGUCAGUCAGGGGUGAAAUCCCGGAGCUCAACUUCGGAACUGCCUUUGAUACAGCACAUCUGGAGUCCGGAAGAGGUGAGUGGAAUUCCCAGUGUAGAGGUGAAAUUCGUAGAUAUUGGGAAGAACACCAGUGGCGAAGGCGGCUCACUGGCCCGUAACUGACGCUGAGGUGCGAAAGCGUGGGGAGCAAACAGG